This 497-nucleotide long non-coding RNA is filed under the name Heterocephalus glaber (naked mole-rat). RNAcentral describes it as "lncRNA (ENSHGLG00000031235.2)". Lineage: Eukaryota; Metazoa; Chordata; Mammalia; Rodentia; Bathyergidae. The record is from RNAcentral.
GUGACCUGGACUUUUGAAUGGUGUCUGAAGUUGGGGCAGCCUUGUGGGAUAGAACCUUUAAACUGGUGGAAUCUGAUGGUAAUCCCAGAAAUGGAUCAAAUGGUUGAACAGCCAGCUGGUGUCACAGAAUGGCUUGGCCUCAGGAAAGAUCUCAGAGGAAUAUGAACAAAACCUGCAGUGCACAGGUGAACCCACUGAUGACUCUGAGGUGCUGCCGUAGCAAUAAUGAAUAAUAACACCACCAACAAAAACAGUAGGAGCUGACUCAUCCACUCCUCACCAUGCAUUAGACACUCUCCUGAAGUCUUCACAUAUUGUCUGUUUCAUUCUCAAAAUCAUAUUAUGAUCCUCAUCCUGCAGAUGUAACUGAAGCAAAAAAAAGAUAAAUAAUUGGCCCAAAACUGAAGCUAAAAAAUCUCAUUCCAGAUUCCAUAAUUCCAACUGCUAUGCUAGUAGGGAAACUUCUUUCUCUGUUAUUCAUUUCUUCUUUAUUUUAG